CAGUAGCCGCGGUAACACGAAGGGGGCUAGCGUUGUUCGGAAUUACUGGGCGUAAAGCGCACGUAGGCGGAUUUUUAAGUCAGGGGUGAAAUCCCGAGGCUCAACCUCGGAACUGCCUUUGAUACUGGAGAUCUUGAGUUCGGAAGAGGUUGGUGGAGCAGCUAGUGUAGAGGUGAAAUUCGUAGAUAUUAGCUAGAACACCAGUGGCGAAGGCGGCCAACUGGUCCGAUACUGACGCUGAGGUGCGAAAGCGUGGGGAGCAAACAGGAUUAGAUACCCCGGUAGUCCCUGUCUCUUAUAA
Molecule: ribosomal RNA, 301 nt
Filed under: uncultured bacterium
Lineage: Bacteria
Description: partial 16S ribosomal RNA
Rfam family: Bacterial small subunit ribosomal RNA
Source: RNAcentral